GUAGGUGGCAAGCGUUGUCCGGAAUUAUGGGCGUAAAGCGCGCGCAGGUGGUUCUUUAAGUCUGAUGUGAAAGACCCCCGGGCUCAACCGGGGAGGGUCAUUGGAAACUGGGGAACUUGAGUGCAGGAGAGGAAAGUGGAAUUCCACGUGUAGCGGUGAAAUGCGUAGAUAUGUGGAGGAACACCAGUGGCGAAGGCGACUUUCUGGCCUGUAACUGACGCUGAGGCGCGAAAGCGUGGGGAGCAAACAGGAUUAGAUACCCUGGUAGUCCACGCCGUAAACGAUGAGUGCUAAGUGUUGGGGGGGUUUCCGCCCCUCAGUGCUGCAGCUAACGCAUUAAGCACUCCGCCUGGGGAGUACGGUCGCAAAGACUG
Molecule: ribosomal RNA, 374 nt
Filed under: uncultured organism
Description: partial 16S ribosomal RNA
Rfam family: Bacterial small subunit ribosomal RNA
Source: RNAcentral